RNAcentral lists this ribozyme (113 nucleotides) under Aedes aegypti (yellow fever mosquito). Its description in RNAcentral is "drz-agam-1 ribozyme". It matches the Rfam family "drz-agam-1 ribozyme". The record is from Rfam by way of RNAcentral. Lineage: Eukaryota; Metazoa; Arthropoda; Insecta; Diptera; Culicidae.
UGCUCAGCAGCUCCUAUCUCUACCUCGUCGCAUUACUGGCCGGGGUCCGAGCAACCUUAUGGAAAAUCGCCCCAACCCCGAGGGAAACUUUGGUCGUAUGCUGACAGGGAAGG